Molecule: ribosomal RNA, 468 nt
Filed under: uncultured bacterium
Lineage: Bacteria
Description: partial 16S ribosomal RNA
Rfam family: Bacterial small subunit ribosomal RNA
Source: RNAcentral
GACGAACGCUGGCGGCGUGCUUAACACAUGCAAGUCGAACGGUGAAGCUCCAGCUUGCUGGAGUGGAUCAGUGGCGAACGGGCGAGUAACACGUGAGCAACCUGCCCCUGACUCUGGAAUAAGCGCUGGAAACGGCGUCUAAUACUGGAUACGAGAUGUGUCCGCAUGGGCACUUUCUGGAAAGUUCUUCGGUUGGGGAUGGGCUCGCGGCCUAUCAGCUUGUUGGUGAGGUAAUGGCUCACCAAGGCGACGACGGGUAGCCGGCCUGAGAGGGCGACCGGCCACACUGGGACUGAGAGACGGCCCAGACGCCUACGGGAGGCAGCAGUGGGGAAUAUUGCACAAUGGGCGAAAGCCUGAUGCAGCGACGCCGCGUGAGGGAUGACGGCCUUCGGGUUGUAAACCUCUUUCAGCAGGGAAGAAGCGAAAGUGACGGUACCUGCAGAAGAAGCACCGGCUAACUACGUG